Molecule: transfer RNA, 76 nt
Filed under: Siphoviridae sp. ctEEM24
Lineage: Duplodnaviria; Heunggongvirae; Uroviricota; Caudoviricetes
Description: tRNA-OTHER
Rfam family: tRNA
About the family: Transfer RNA (tRNA) molecules are approximately 80 nucleotides in length.
Source: RNAcentral
UGGAACGUAGCUCAGUGGAUGAGAGCGGGUUGCAUCGGGGCAACUGACGUCGGGGGUUCGAGUCCUUCCGUUCCAA